AUACGGAGGGUGCAAGCGUUGUUCGGAAUUACUGGGCGUAAAGCGCGCGUAGGUGGUCUGUUAUGUCAGAUGUGAAAGUCCACGGCUCAACCGUGGAAGUGCAUUUGAAACUGGCAGACUUGAGUACUGGAGGGGGGAGUGGAAUUCCCGGUGUAGAGGUGAAAGUCGUAGAUAUCGGGAGGAAUACCGGUGGCGAAGGCGACCACCUGGCCAGAUACUGACGCUGAGGUGCGAAAGCGUGGGGAGCAAACAGGAUUAGAUACCCGAGUAGUCC
This 274-nucleotide ribosomal RNA is filed under the name uncultured bacterium. Its description in RNAcentral is "partial 16S ribosomal RNA". It matches the Rfam family "Bacterial small subunit ribosomal RNA", at positions 523 to 796 of the family's 1533-position model. The record is from RNAcentral.